UGUGACUGCUUUUUUUGUCCUGUUUAAGAAAUCUGUCCCUUCUCAAUUUAUGAAGAUAUUCUUUCAUGUUAUCUUCUUGAAUAUUAUUGCUUUGCCUUUUGUAUUUACACAUCACAGCUCACAUGGAAUUGAUUUUUCUGUACUGUUGUAAAUCAGGAGAUCAUACAUUUGGCCCAGUUGUUUCAACAUUCUCUCUCUGUUCCAUUGUUUCUACUUGGUCCUGCAUCAAUACCACACUGUCUUAUUUACUGUAACCUCAAGAUAAAUCUUGAAAUCUGGCAUUUUGAGUUUUCCUAUUUUGUUAUUCUUCAAGAAUUGCUUAACUAUUCUUGGCCCUUUGUGGUUUCAUGUAAAUUUAGUACCAGAUUUUCAUUUUGGGUGUGUGAAUCCCGAAUAUCUGGGACAGAGCUCAGUUAAUUUAGAAAGUUUAUUUUGCCGAUGUUGAGGACAGACGCUCAUGACACAGCCUCAGAAGGUCCUGAUGACUUGUGGCUAAGAUGAUCAGGGCACAGCUUGGUUUUAUACAUUUUAGGAAGACAUGAGACAUCAAUCAAUAUAUGUAAGAUAUACAUUGGUAUCAACCAGAAAGGUAUUUCCUAUAUCUUCCUGUCUUUUCCAUGGCCAAAAAUGAUCAAGUAAAGAACAUUAAAGAAGAAAUAAAUUACUACAUAUUAAAAAAUACAUACUGUAAGAUGUUCUUUGUACAAAAAUGUGACAACUUCAAUAAGAGUAACUUGGACAACCUGAGGCAUUAAUUGAGGAUCAAUAUGAUGACUUUACAUUGAGAAUCACAUAUACCCUCUGAAUAAAUUUAAAAAAUGAAAUUUUUUAAUUUUCAUUAAAAAUUAAAUUUUUUUGAGUGAUGAAAAUACUCAAUCACAUUAUUUUCAAAUUGUUGAUAAGCAUGGAAAUUAUCAGAGAACCAGAAUAUUCAAGGUUUAUCUUUCCUGUUUUUGUCUUAAAUCACAACUAUGUGUUAAAUAAUUUGUAUGACCUAUUUCAGUGGCAGUAGGUUAAAUAAAAUUCUGUUUGUAU
Molecule: long non-coding RNA, 1035 nt
Filed under: Homo sapiens (human)
Lineage: Eukaryota; Metazoa; Chordata; Mammalia; Primates; Hominidae
Description: HSALNT0336918
Source: RNAcentral